UACGGAGGAUGCAAGCGUUAUCCGGAAUGAUUGGGCGUAAAGCGUCCGCAGGUGGCUGUGUAAGUCUGCUGUCAAAGAGCAAAGCUCAACUUUGUAAAGGCAGUGGAAACUACACGGCUAGAGUGCGUUCGGGGCAGAGGGAAUUCCUGGUGUAGCGGUGAAAUGCGCAGAGAUCGGGAGGAACACCCGUAGCGAAGGCGGAUCUCUGGGCCUUACCUGACGCUGAGGCGCGAAAGCUAGGGGAGCGAACAGG
RNAcentral lists this ribosomal RNA (253 nucleotides) under uncultured bacterium. RNAcentral describes it as "partial 16S ribosomal RNA". It matches the Rfam family "Bacterial small subunit ribosomal RNA", at positions 524 to 776 of the family's 1533-position model. The record is from RNAcentral.